This is a long non-coding RNA of Thunnus maccoyii (southern bluefin tuna), 1136 nucleotides long. RefSeq lists it as uncharacterized. The transcript is spliced from 3 exons. The record is from RefSeq and is a predicted model, not a curated record. Lineage: Eukaryota; Metazoa; Chordata; Actinopteri; Scombriformes; Scombridae.
AGCAGUAUAACGCAUAGAGACAGAAUGCAUCUAAGUCCCGCCCACCCCAGAGGGGAAAACAAUUCAAAAAUGCCUAAAAGCUGCCGUGCGGUGGGAUCCACUACCGACAGAACCCAGAACUAACUUUUUAUAAGCUGCCGAACAGAAAAACUGAACCUUUAAGAAAACAAAAGUGGAUGCAGGACUGUGUUUGCCGUGUGGUUGGUGAGACACAAACCCGACAGCCUGCAGCUCCAAAACCUCCAUAAAAUUGAACAGCUGUUUAAUUGAAAGUCGUCUGGGACAAAGAUGAAAGAUAACCUCUCUUUACAACUGUGCUGAGCAGAAAAGCAUCUCAGAACUUGGAAGCUUGCGUCGGAUGGGCUACAAGAGCAGAAGACCACGGCGGGUUCCACUGCUGUCAGCCAAGAACAGAAACCUGAGGCAGCAGUGAGAGCAGACUCACCAAAAACUGGACAGUUGAAGACUGGAAAAACAAAGCCUGGUCUGACGAAUCUCGAUUUCUGCUGAGGCACGCAGAUAGUAGGGUCAGAAUUUGGCAUCAACAGCAUGAAUCCAUGGACCCAACCUGCCUUGUGUCAACAGUCCAGACUGCUGCUGCUGCUGCUGGUGUAACGGUGUGGGGGAAUGUUUUCUUGGCACACUUCUGGCCCCUUAAUACCAACAGGUCCGCCUCCGCCGAGGCUCCGCGUCAAACCGACGACUAACCAUGUGACGGCUCUCCGGCAGAGGCGAGGCGAGGAACAGAAAACAAAACGAAAGCGGAUCACAGGGGAGGCGGAGUACAGCGAGGCCAGAGACUGAGUCAAGAAAGGGACAGCUCAGCCUUGUUCCCACACACGCACAGCUGUUCUCUCAGCUCAUUUCUAACCAUAACCACAUCACUGAGGCCAUGUUGGGCCAGGACUGCCUCCAUGCCAGCUCUGCACCGAGCUCUGCAGCCUGCAAGCAGGAUCCUGUUGCACGUGGCAUGCAGCAGAGCCAAAGAUUAACCCAGAACCUGCCGUUCACAUUCACCUCCAGUGUGACUGUAUGACACCUCGCUUUGCUCAGAACUCCCAGGAUUUACUGUCUCUGACAAAAUAUAACUUUAGCUUAAGUUGUUAAAGAUAUGAACAAGGCUGCAACUAACGAGU